Molecule: non-coding RNA, 1942 nt
Organism: Oryzias latipes (Japanese medaka)
Lineage: Eukaryota; Metazoa; Chordata; Actinopteri; Beloniformes; Adrianichthyidae
Source: RefSeq, a predicted model, not a curated record
GAAAUGAUUGUCUGGUUGGUUAUGUGUGUAUCUACACAGCAUCUAUUGUCAAUCUGAUAUGCUUCAUGAGUAUUUCUAUCAUACAGGCAUCCGAUGCUGACCAAUAACGAUGUGAAUGAUGUGAACCCUGAGCAGUCCCUCCACGUUUGUGCGUUUUCAUGACUCACCGGUACAAUAAUGACUGUACCAGAGCGGCGGAUAAAAGGGCUCACGUUGACUGUGAAGAGGAGAGAGAUAGGCGAGUGGGCUGAGCUCACUCUGACACCUCUGUCUCAGAGCUCUUCUGCUGCUCAGAGCAAACACACCUACCAAGAGGACUGCGCCAUGAUAAUCCCGGCAAAGGCAUGGCUGGCUUUCAGCCUGGGAGAGGACGUGUGGCGAGAAAAGGACCAUUUGGGACAGUAUUUAAGGAUCUGCUGAACCAGGUGGAUGGAGCAGCAGGAGACUUCCACUUUGCCGAUGCCCCCUUCAGAAAUAUACCAUUGACUCUUAUAAAGUGAACCUAAUGAAGGUUCUGUACCUUUUCACAAGUCAUACCUGUCAUAAAAACUCAUACACCAUCUUUUUUUUUGCUUGAAAUAAGCCACAAUUGUUUUUUUUCCACCCAUGUUUUUGACUAACUUGCAGUGACCUACCUAAAUGCACAUCAUUCAUUUUGUUUUACCAUAUGACAGGUUUCCAGUUUGUGUAUUGACCUACCCUCAGAAACUGAUUUCAUUUGGUGACAUAGAUGUUUGUAGUUUUUCCUCUAGCACCACAUGAAUUCAGUGUUCUUAUGGUGGACAAGCAGCCCAUACAGUAUAAACUAUGAACAGUUAAAAAGUAGAUCAUAAAGGACUUCUCACAGUUGUGGUCCUAUUGCUUAUUUUUGUUCAUUUGCAUUUUAACUAGAAAAAAAACCAACGCAAAUCUUGUUCUGUUUUUGUUGAGCAGGCUGUGUGUGUCUUUUAGACAGAUCAGAAAAUUAUUCUAACUUCCAGUUAUGGUGACUCAUAUUUGAGUCAGCUCCUCCGGUGUGGGGCUGCACGGUGGUGCAGUGCUUUCACAGCAAGAUGGUCGUGGUUUGCAUGUUGCCCAAGGUGUGAUUGUGUGGCCCUGCAAAAGACUUCACCUGCAACAGGGGAAGGUGGGGAACACCACACCUUCAUCUAACAGUGGCCUGGUUGGCUCAAGCUACCCUCUGACCCUAAAAGGGAUUCAGAGGGUUCCGAAGAUUGAUGGAUGGAUGGAUGCGCCUGUGUGCAGGAAGAAGCUCUGGGCUUCAGGACUUUUUGCUGGCCUGAGGCUUGUUCAACGUUCAUUUUAAUAAAUCGCAGCAUAAAAGCUACUUUGUUAACUAUGACACCAAUUUUCUUCAUCAUAGCAUUUUAUAUCAUUUAAAUCUAUUGGUGGAUCCCCUACUUACCAUCAUCAUUGUAGGCAAAAUAAAACCACAUAAAACUAUGAAAGAAGACAAUGUUAGAUUUUUUUCAAACAGUUUGUAGGCAAAAAAAAUUGAUUUUAUAUGGUACCACUUCUAAAGAGAUUGUAUCUUGGAAAAACUGCUGAGAAAGCCAUGAGAAAAAAUUUUAUUUCUGUGUUUGUGUUCUGAAAUGUUUGAUGCUCUAAGUGGAUUUUACUUUACAACAAAGGGAAAUUGUGUUAAGUACACACAAAAUCCAAAACCUUUUUUGCAAAUGUCAAAAAAUAAAAAGACAUAACUUUAGUCGCCAGUCUCAUUGUUUGCAGGGUUUUAUCACAUUUCAAAAGAGUUCUGCUUAGGUCUUGUUAGAAUUUCUUACAAGUAUUUACCAUGUGGACGCUAUAUUGGAACUAUCAAGAACCUAAUGAAUUGAUCUGUCAUUUUUGUGGCAGCUACUGAAAUUGUAUUGUCAGUUCCUCCAUUUUUGUAUUUCUUUUUUCAAUCUGUCUUAAUGUUUGCUAAUAAAGGUGACUAACAGGA